This 1300-nucleotide ribosomal RNA is filed under the name metagenome. RNAcentral describes it as "bacterial LSU rRNA". It matches the Rfam family "Bacterial large subunit ribosomal RNA", at positions 1635 to 2925 of the family's 2925-position model. The record is from RNAcentral.
CACACGACCGUACCGCAAACCGACACUGGUGCGCGAGAUGAGUAUUCUAAGGCGCUUGAGAGAACUCAGGAGAAGGAACUCGGCAAAUUGACACCGUAACUUCGGAAGAAGGUGUGCCUUUAGUAGGUGAACCUGUACAAGGGGAGCCCAAUGAGGUUGCAAAAAAUCGGUGGCUGCGACUGUUUAAUAAAAACACAGCACUCUGCAAACACGAAAGUGGACGUAUAGGGUGUGACGCCUGCCCGGUGCUGGAAGAUUAAAUGAUGGGGUGCAAGCUCUUGAUUGAAGUCCCAGUAAACGGCGGCCGUAACGAUAACGGUCCUAAGGUAGCGAAAUUCCUUGUCGGGUAAGUUCCGACCUGCACGAAUGGCGUAACGAUGGCCACACUGUCUCCUCCUGAGACUCAGCGAAGUUGAAAUGUUUGUGAUGAUGCAAUCUCCCCGCGGAAAGACGGAAAGACCCCAUGAACCUUUACUGUAGCUUUGUAUUGGACUUUGAACAGAUCUGUGUAGGAUAGGUGGGAGGCUUUGAAGUGUGGUCGCUAGAUCGCAUGGAGCCAACGUUGAAAUACCACCCUGGUGUGUUUGAGGUUCUAACCUAGGCCCGUAAUCCGGGUCGGGGACAGUGCAUGGUAGGCAGUUUGACUGGGGCGGUCUCCUCCCAAAGCGUAACGGAGGAGUUCGAAGGUACGCUAGGUACGGUCGGACAUCGUGCUAAUAGUGCAAUGGCAUAAGCGUGCUUAACUGCGAGACUGACAAGUCGAGCAGAUGCGAAAGCAGGACAUAGUGAUCCGGUGGUUCUGUAUGGAAGGGCCAUCGCUCAACGGAUAAAAGGUACUCUGGGGAUAACAGGCUGAUACCGCCCAAGAGUUCAUAUCGACGGCGGUGUUUGGCACCUCGAUGUCGGCUCAUCUCAUCCUGGGGCUGUAGCCGGUCCCAAGGGUAUGGCUGUUCGCCAUUUAAAGAGGUACGUGAGCUGGGUUUAAAACGUCGUGAGACAGUUUGGUCCCUAUCUUCCGUGGGCGCUGCAGAUUUGAGGAAGCCUGCUCCUAGUACGAGAGGACCGGAGUGGACACACCUCUGGUGUAUCGGUUGUCACGCCAGUGGCAUUGCCGAGUAGCUAUGUGUGGAAGAGAUAACCGCUGAAAGCAUCUAAGCGGGAAACUCGUUUCAAGAUGAGAUCUGCCGGGGCCUUGAGCCCCCUAAAGAGUCGUUCAAGACCAGGACGUUGAUAGGUCGGGUGUGGAAGCGCAGUAAUGCGUUAAGCUAACCGAUACUAAUUGCUCGUGCGGCUUGACCCG